AGACUGGAAUUCCUGGUGUAGCGGUGAAAUGCGCAGAUAUCAGGAGGAACACCGAUGGCGAAGGCAGGUCUCUGGGCUGUUACUGACGCUGAGGAGCGAAAGCAUGGGGAGCGAACAGGAUUAGAUACCCUGGUAGUCCAUGCCGUAAACGUUGGGCACUAGGUGUGGGGGACAUUCCACGUUUUCCGCGCCGUAGCUAACGCAUUAAGUGCCCCGCCUGGGGAGUACGGCCGCAAGGCUAAAACUCAAAGGAAUUGACGGGGGCCCGCACAAGCGGCGGAGCAUGCGGAUUAAUUCGAUGCAACGCGAAGAACCUUACCAAGGCUUGACAUUCACCGGACCGCCCCAGAGAUGGGGUUUCCCUUCGGGGCUGGUGGACAGGUGGUGCAUGGUUGUCGUCAGCUCGUGUCGUGAGAUGUUGGGUUAAGUCCCGCAACGAGCGCAACCCUCGUUCUAUGUUGCCAGCACGUGAUGGUGGGGACUCAUAGGAGACUGCCGGGGUCAACUCGGAGGAAGGUGGGGAUGACGUCAAAUCAUCAUGCCCCUUAUGUCUUGGGCUUCACGCAUGCUACAAUGGCCGGUACAAAGGGUUGCGAUACUGUGAGGUGGAGCUAAUCCCAAAAAGCCGGUCUCAGUUCGGAUUGAGGUCUGCAACUCGACCUCAUGAAGUCGGAGUCGCUAGUAAUCGCAGAUCAGCAACGCUGCGGUGAAUACGUUCCCGG
Molecule: ribosomal RNA, 722 nt
Filed under: unidentified microorganism
Description: bacterial SSU rRNA
Rfam family: Bacterial small subunit ribosomal RNA
Source: RNAcentral